AUUAUUUUAAGAUUAUUUUUUAUUGUUGAAAAAAUUAAAAAUAAAUUGUUUUUAACAAAAAUUAAAAUUUAUAAUAUUUCAUUUUUUGGUUUUUUGUUUUAAAUUAAAAUAAUAAAUAUGGGGGAAAAAAAAAUUUUGUUAUAAAUUAUAUUAGUUUAUUUUAAUUAAAAAUAUUUUUUAUUAAAUUUGUUUUUUUUAUUUUUUUAUAAAAAAUAUUAAUUUAAUUAUUAUUAUUGAGUUUAAUUUAGUUAUUUUUAAAAAAAUUUUGUAUAAAAUAAAUUUGAUAAUAAAUGUUUUUUAAAUUCUUUGGGGGUUUAGUUUAUGAUUUUUUGUUUCUGCUCAUUGUUAAAUAAAAGCACUUUUAGCGUGAUUAGUCAAAGGUA
This 383-nucleotide ribosomal RNA is filed under the name Meloidogyne enterolobii. RNAcentral describes it as "partial 16S large subunit ribosomal RNA". The record is from RNAcentral. Lineage: Eukaryota; Metazoa; Nematoda; Chromadorea; Rhabditida; Meloidogynidae.